This is a long non-coding RNA of Cheilinus undulatus (humphead wrasse), 185 nucleotides long. RefSeq lists it as uncharacterized. The record is from RefSeq and is a predicted model, not a curated record. Lineage: Eukaryota; Metazoa; Chordata; Actinopteri; Labriformes; Labridae. The transcript has 3 exons.
AGACACAUCAAGAGCAGCAGCUGUCUGUCUGUCAGUCCCUCCCUGUCCCACCUGAACAAGCCCAAGUACCCGCCGAGGAAGGAGAGUUUUAACAUUCAGGCUGUUUGGGAACAAAUCAAAGACCAUCAGGGCAGAGGAGAUCGUGAGCAAGGUGAAGGAGCUGGGGAGGGCUCCAGAUGAUGAAU